Unclassified non-coding RNA from Mustela putorius furo (domestic ferret), 99 nucleotides. It matches the Rfam family "Y RNA". From Rfam's summary of the family: Y RNAs are components of the Ro ribonucleoprotein particle (Ro RNP), in association with Ro60 and La proteins. The Y RNAs and Ro60 and La proteins are well conserved, but the function of the Ro RNP is not known. The record is from Ensembl. NCBI's taxonomy places the organism in Eukaryota, Metazoa, Chordata, Mammalia, Carnivora, Mustelidae.
GCUUGGUCUGAAGAUAGUGAAUUGUCUCAAUUGAUUGUUUUACAGAUAGAACUCCUUGUUCUACUAUUUCUCCAUUCUCACUGCUGCACUUGACUUAAA